This 464-nucleotide long non-coding RNA is filed under the name Dermacentor andersoni. RNAcentral describes it as "uncharacterized LOC126521797". Lineage: Eukaryota; Metazoa; Arthropoda; Arachnida; Ixodida; Ixodidae. The record is from RNAcentral.
GAUAAAGAUUCCCAGGCUAAUAUGGCUCGCGAAGCUUCUGAUUUCUACACCCCUUGCAAUCAACGUACUGUACUACGCUAAUUCGAAGACGGAAGAAAUCAGGGUGAAGGAAAAGGAGAGGCGACGUGCCGCGGCAACCGACUUUCCUCUGGUCUAUGUUCAUCCGGACGACGCACAGAAAGAGGCCAGGAUGCUGGUUGCGCUUCCGGUUCAGACGGCUAGAACACCGGCUCUCGAGUCGACCCUGUUGGAAACCACCCGCUCGGCGUUGGAAAACAGCGCGGCGUCGGAUGGACGCGACGAAAAGGCGGAUCGGCACGGGCAGGCAAACGCGGAACCUGAGUCGAAGGCCGUCGAGGAAACGAAGGAAAAGAAGCUACGCGGCAAGACUACAUUUACCGUUGCCUAGUUAGGAAAAGGGGUCGAUUUUUUUUUUGGCACAGCACUGCCGAGAAUUGUGUAAA